UUUUUUUUUUUUUUUUUUUUCCUGAGCUUUCUCACUUUCCUUGCCUCAAGCUGAGCUGCAGCUGCACAGUCUUUGCCUGGCACACUGGCUCAAGUUGCUAAUACCAUCUCUGUGCACCAAGCACGCCUAUAUCUAGGCAGGACUUUUCUCUAUGCUGCAUGGGAGCUGAAUAGGCUGUACAUCAAGGCAUAUUUUAAUUUAUUGGUUUAAUUUGUUUGAUCUCCUGGAAAUCUGCAUGUAAGGGACAGGUCUCUGAACACCCCAUUUACAGAAAUUAUUUUCCUGUGUGGGCUGCAGGGUCCAAGCCAGGCAAGUACACAAACUUUGACUUAGAUGUGGCUUUCAGGGACACAAACAGAGUACAUGUCUCAUUUUCAAGAGGAGGGUGGCUACAAUAAUAAAAACUUGUGCAGGGGCUUUGAGUCUCAUCCCAGAGGUCCCACACCAGGUGAGUGAUUUGGCUUUGUUCUGGGGGCAGAACUGACACUUCCUGUUUGUAAAGCCCAGGGCACUUCUGGACAAUUGUGCAAAGUGUGUUUUCCAUGUCUCAGCUUAGUUUGAACACUUUUAUUCCUAGGUCUCAUAGCUUACCACAGCUGUAGCUAUGGAAUCGUUUCUAAACUGCUGCUUUUGGAGAGCAGGGGGAGGGAUUAGGAUGGAUCAGGAUGACUGCUGAGCAGUGGCAGAAAGUGGCAGCAGUGGUCUGAGUUUGAGAAGCAGAAGGGGGCAGCUUCCUUAUGCAAAGCAGCAUGUGCCUCUUGGUUCAAGGUCUGAAAGGCAAGAAAGUUGUUUAUCAUGUUUGCUCUGCCCUUUAGACACUUCUACUGCUCUGCUAGUUGUCACCAAUUGUCUGCACUGUGAAUGUCAGUUUUAAACAGCUGUGCAAUUGCAUUAUAUUGGUCUGGGGUACCUCUGCCACAGAGCCUCAGGACAACACAUAUGCUCCUAUUAGUGUCAGGAUCCUGCUCUGGCUUUUAAUCAUCUGGCUCCACUGAUUACAGAGGUCUUUCACAGCAACCUCUUAGUCAUUUAAGGUUUUGUGUCACACUUUCCUACCUGGGUUUUUGUGCUUUUGUUGCAGGACCUACAGGCCAGAUGGCGGGUGCUUUGCUGCACCUGAAGUCAGAAAAUGCCUCAUAGCCCUUGCCAGAUGAGCAAAACCCUGUUAAUUACUGCCAGGUAAGAAAAGGGAGGAGUGUGGAUGCAAGAGCAAACAGAGAGCACCCUGCUGUGUCUGAGGGGUCUCAGCUGGAAGGAGUGAGGAUGGGAGAACAAGGCUGGCUUCAUCUGCCACCUGCAGCUGUGCAGAAUUCCUAGAAAGGCUGCCUAGUGAGCUGAAAUUUCUGAAUCACCAUGUCCUUGCUCUACCAUCCUUCCAUUGAAUGUCUCUGGCUUCUAAAAUCACCAUGAUUGCAGAAUCCUGUGUGUGACCUCCUGAUCCACCUGUGAUGUUCUAAAUUUUGUACUAUUUUGGACAGACAUACAGCUCUGAAUCCAACCUGUGUCCCUACCCAGCCUACUGGUUUUGGUAUGUACCUCUGACACAGUUUAGCUCAAUUUUUCCACACAGCCUUAAAGCUGCCCUGAACAAAAAUAUCAUUUCUCUGCUUGCUGGUUCUGUUGCCAGAGUCUGAUCAUCACAGUGGGAGAGCAGAUGGCAGCACAAGUCAUUUAUCCAGGUGGGAGUGUGCAAGGUAAGGGGACAAGUUGCAACCAGUGAGAACUCAAUACUGCUUCAGGGAAAGAGGUGUUCUUACCAGUGAAUAAUGCAGCAGUCACUGACUGUCCUGUUUGGAGUGCAGUUCUGUGCCCUGAAUUCCUUAGAUUUACACAUUAAGGCUAUUUAUAUCUGCAGCUAAGACUUUUGGGCCAUAAGACCCAAAAGUAUUGAAUACCUGUUCUCUGAUCUUUUUCAGGCCACUCCCAUAAAGAAUAAUAUUCUAUCCAUUAUAUAACUUUAAUUAAAGUAUAUAAAUAUGUACUUUACCUUUGAGUCCUGAAAUGUGUUACCAGCUUUUAGCUAUAAAUAACCAUGAGUGAAUCAGCUACUUUCUGCUUUUAAUCCAUAAAAUGCCAAUUUUCACAAGCAGCAGCGGCACCAACAGCCUCUUCUGCCACUUUGGUGUCUCUUAAGCAUUUCACACCCAAGCGCUGACUAAAGAAACACUCACGUUAUGAGCCAGUGUGCAGCAAUUCUGCUUCUGUACAGUAAUGGUUUUGUAAUCCUUUGACUUCUAGUUGUGGCUUAUGAUUUUCUUCUUAGUUUAACAGAUUUUGAGCCAAGUUCCUGACUCUAAGAAGAGCUAAAACUUCUGUAACUCUUUUUAAUCUAAAUUUUGCCUUCCCCAGUUACCCUCCCCCAAACCUGUACAGACAUUUAGUACAUAAGUUGCAGAAUCGUGGAGAAACAGAUAAUUGAAUAUUCACACAUGCAGAAACAACCCAGGCAGAAUGUGGAACAAUGUGGAAACAGGCGCGAAAAGAGGCGGCAUCUGUUUAUUGAAAAUUAAAAUGUAGAAUAAAUUAAGAGGGCAAGGUUAAAACACUUCAUCUGCAGACAGAGUUUGUAGGGGAGGAAGACUGCAGAAAGUUUAGCACAUAAGACUGUGUAUAAAGGACUUAUGCAGUUCUAUUUUUGCAAAAUGAGGGGUUUUCUACCCCCCCAAGGACACAUUACAAAGGGAUAAAGUGUCCACAUAAAGAAUGGUUUUCCAAUAGAGAUGAUUAUAUAUAGCAGUUUCACAGUAAUGCCAGAAUUAAAAUGCUUAAAGCAUUAAUGUUUCAAUGCUUCAAGUAUUUAAGAACAGAGUAAGUAUUUUUAGCAACAUCCUCAAUUCCUGUAAGUAAAUGCUGUGCUAAGUCUCCACCGGUGCCCUAUGCAGGUCAUGCUGGGCCUUUCCAAACCAAAUAAUGAAUUUAGCCAAUUUGCAUUUUUAAUGUCUGUUUUGGUGUCAUUCUGCAAGGAGAAGGGUAGAGCCAAGAUAGUGUUUGAUGGACUGACAAAUGCAGUGAAUUUGGUUGUAAUGUGGAGUUACUCUGCUGACAUUUCCAAAGACCUCUAAAGAUACCACAUGACAAAGAGAGGAUCUGAGCUUUUGCUUUUUUUUUGUUGUUCUGUACAUACCUUGCACUUUGUACAUUAAACUUGCAAAAGGUUUAACCACUUUGAAGUUGCUCAAGUAGACAAAAGCCAUAUCCUAGUCAUUCAUCAUAAAACAAGCUUAAUUAUGCUAGGACAUAUUGACACUGCAUCAGAUUUUUAAUCUUCAACAUAAUUUUAUAACCAUUGCUAACAGAUGGGCUGAUUACACUGAAUUUGAGUUUUAAGUAAUAGUUAAAAAUUCUAAAAUAUGAUUAAUCUGGAAAUACCCAUUGCAUACCUAAUUUUCAAAAAGCUUCUGAAAGAAGGAAAACCAGAUUGCAGUAAAACUUCUUUUUUGUUUCCUGAGGGAACUAUAUUGCUUUUAAGUGCAGAGUUAUCAAAGUUCCUUAGAUGACCAAGCAGUUCAUGCUAUUGGCAGCUCCUCUUCUGUUCAAUUACAACAAAUAGGCCAGGACCUUAUUCCUUCCAUGGGUCUGCUGCUCUAUUCUAGCAUAAAAUAUGUGUAUUUUCCUAUUUCAGAACCUCUUUUUUUUCCAUUGGAAAUGAAAACAAAGAGUAAUUUAAAUUAGCAUAGUUCUGCUCUUCAAUAACAAUAACAAAUGUAAAAUUAUUAUGAAACAGAGGGACAGCUUUGUGGGACUAAUGGAAGUCAUAUGUGAAUUCUGAAGGGAAGGUAUUUCUUUUCAUGUUAUCUUGUUACUAAAGGAAAGAUAAGCCAGACUUCCCUCUGCCUGCCAUUGUUCAUCAUGUGCUGGACAUGUGCUUCAUAUCACAAGGAUGAUAAUGGGUCAGAGGUGAUUGGUAUUGUGAAUUCUGGAAUAGGGGAAAUAGAAAGAUUAAAUACUGUCUAGUUAGAUCUCAAUUCUAUACACUGCGGGGCAAAAAAGGGUGCUAAGGAUAUAUAAGUAUAUAUAAACACACAUCACAAAAAUAUGUCCUCUUAUAUCCUGGAAGAAUCCUCUGGCCAAGGAGAUCAGCCUGGCAAGGCUCAUGAUGGCUUGGUUUCAGACAGGUAUCCCAUCACCAGUAUUAGCAUUUCCAAAUGAAAGAACAUUCUGGUCACAGACUGAGCAAGAAAAAGCAUACUGAAAUUAAAAAUUUUGUUAAAACUCCACUGACAAAACAGUCAUUCUAUAGUUAUCAGUAAUUAAUUAAGAUGUCUGCUAGUUUUGGCUGGGGUGGAGUUAAUUUUCUUCACAGGGGUAGGUAUGGGGCCAUGUUUUGGAUCUGUGCUGAACACAGGGUUGAUAAUAUAGAGAUGUUUUUGUUAUUGCUGAGCAGGGCUUACACAGAGCCAAGGCCUCUUCUGCUUUCUCAUACUCCAUGCUCGGGAGGGGGCUGGGGGUGCUGGGAGGAAACACAGCCAGGACAGGUGACCCAAACUGACCACAGGGAUAUUCCAGACCGUAGAACAUCAUGCUUGAUACGUGAACUGGGGGAAGAAGGAAGAGACAUUUGGAGUGAUGGCGUUCAUCUUCCCAUGUUGUGUGCUACACUGUGACGGUGUGAUGGGGCCCUGCUGUCCUGGAGAUGGCUGAACACCUGCCCGCUCUGAGGAAGCAGUGAAUUUAUUCCUUGCUUUGGUUUAUUUGCAUGACAUUCCAAUUUGUGGUUUUUGCCUUCCCCAUUAAACUUUGUCUCAACCAAGGAGUCUCCUACCUUUUACCCUUUAAAUUCUCUCCCCAAUCCCACUGGUGGGGGAGCAGCUGUGUGGGGCUUGGCUGCUCGCUGGGGUUAAACCAUCACAACAUUCAAAACAGCUUCAUACCACCAACUUUUCAUUAUAUAGAUGGGUUUGAAUAAUUAAAUUUGUCUGAAUUAGGUAAUCUAUCUACAAUUUUAUUUUCAGGAUCUUUUCACCAUCCGUUGCAGAAUUUACAGCUGCAGGAAAUGUUCAUCCAUGCAGCAGUGGUAUUUUUAAACGCACUGGGAGACACCCUUGCCAUCCUAUAAGUGAAACAUCCCUGCAAUGAGUAGCAAUCUUCAAAU
Taeniopygia guttata (zebra finch) is the source of this 5092-nucleotide long non-coding RNA. The record is from Ensembl. NCBI's taxonomy places the organism in Eukaryota, Metazoa, Chordata, Aves, Passeriformes, Estrildidae.